AUACCUUUUUUACUAAAAACUUAUGAAUAAUAGGAAUACACAUUAUAAAAAAAAAUAUAAUCGUUUAUAAGGUAUUUUAUAUACUAAAUCAAUACAAAAUAUUUUAAAUAGAUAUGUUAAACAAACAUUAAGGGUAGGUAGGUACUUGAGUUUUUUUUUUUAAAUAUCUAAUUGGUGUUUAACAACUAAGUAAAAUACCUUUUUUA
Molecule: non-coding RNA, 206 nt
Organism: Cinara cedri
Lineage: Eukaryota; Metazoa; Arthropoda; Insecta; Hemiptera; Aphididae
Source: the annotation of a GenBank genome assembly